GAUGAACGCUGGCGGCGUGCCUAACACAUGCAAGUCGAACGGUGAAGGCGGAGCUUGCUCUGCUUGAUCAGUGGCGAACGGGUGAGUAACACGUGAGCAAUCUGCCCCUGACUCUGGGAUAAGCGCUGGAAACGGCGCCUAAUACUGGAUACGAGCUGCGAAGGCAUCUUCAGCAGCUGGAAAGAAUCUCUGUCAGGGAUGAGCUGGCGGCCUACGAGCUUGUUGGUGAGGUAAUGGCUCACCAAGGCGUCGACGGAUAGCCGGCCUGAGAGGGUGAACGGGCACAAGGGGACUGAGGCAGGGCGCAGACGGCUACGGGAGGCAACGGGGGGAAGUAUGGCACAGUGGGCGAGAGCCUGAUGCAGAGACGCCGCGUGAGGGACGACGGCCUUCGGGUUGUGAACCGCUUUUAGCAGGGAAGAAGCGAAAGUGACGGUACCUGCAGAAAAAGCGCCGGCUAACUACGUG
This 468-nucleotide ribosomal RNA is filed under the name uncultured bacterium. RNAcentral's name for it is "partial 16S ribosomal RNA". It matches the Rfam family "Bacterial small subunit ribosomal RNA", at positions 28 to 507 of the family's 1533-position model. The record is from RNAcentral.